Rattus norvegicus (Norway rat) is the source of this 58-nucleotide non-coding RNA. The record is from Rfam. NCBI's taxonomy places the organism in Eukaryota, Metazoa, Chordata, Mammalia, Rodentia, Muridae.
UGGCUCAGCGGUUAAGAGCACUGACUGCUCUUCCAGAGGUCCUGGGUUCAAAUCCCAG